RNAcentral lists this ribosomal RNA (497 nucleotides) under uncultured bacterium. RNAcentral's name for it is "partial 16S ribosomal RNA". It matches the Rfam family "Bacterial small subunit ribosomal RNA", at positions 28 to 507 of the family's 1533-position model. The record is from RNAcentral.
GACGAACGCUGGCGGCGUGCCUAAUACAUGCAGGUAGAACGCUGAAGCGAGGAGCUUACUCUUCUUGGAUGAGUUGCGAACGGGUGAGUAACGCGUAGGUAACCUGCCUUGUAGCGGGGGAUAACUAUUGGAAACGAUAGCUAAUACCGCAUAACAAUGGAUGACACAUGUCAUUUAUUUGAAAGGGGCAAUUGCUCCACUACAAGAUGGACCUGCGUUGUAUUAGCUAGUAGGUGAGGUAAUGGCUCACCUAGGCGACGAUACAUAGCCGACCUGAGAGGGUGAUCGGCCACACUGGGACUGAGACACGGCCCAGACUCCUACGGGAGGCAGCAGUAGGGAAUCUUCGGCAAUGGGGGCAACCCUGACCGAGCAACGCCGCGUGAGUGAAGAAGGUUUUCGGAUCGUAAAGCUCUGUUGUAAGUCAAGAACGGGUGUGAGAGUGGAAAGUUCACACUGUGACGGUAGCUUACCAGAAAGGGACGGCUAACUACGUG